GAAAGGGCGAGGUGUUCAAAAAGGUUUUAAAGCAUCUAAGAAGCGUUUUGCCAAUGGAUCUGCAAAGCUAAAUAUUACAUUCUCUGAAAAAUUGGGUGGUACAGUAGGAAUGAACUAUCGUUCGUUCAAGGAUGACGUGGUAGUCAUAAUGAAAAGAAAGUUACCACUCAUUGGAGUGAGGACGUGGUCGGACAUUCACCCUACCAUUCAUCGACUCAUUGUUGCAGACAUGAUAGACAGAUGGGACUUGGAAGAUACACCAGAAACAGAAGAAAAAGUUCUCAAAAUUGCGAAAGAGAGAUAUAGAGGUUGGCGAUCAACUCUAAGCUCCACUUACAAGGCAUACAAAACAGAUGCAGCUAGAUUGGCUAAUCUGCCGGAAGAUUU
Long non-coding RNA from Triticum aestivum (bread wheat), 387 nucleotides. RefSeq lists it as uncharacterized. The transcript has 2 exons. NCBI's taxonomy places the organism in Eukaryota, Viridiplantae, Streptophyta, Magnoliopsida, Poales, Poaceae. The record is from RefSeq and is a predicted model, not a curated record.